CUGUGGCAUUGCUCCUGAAGAAGUGGGGCCCUCUUCCCUCCCCAGGCAUCUCCUAUGUUGCUCCUCAUCUCAACAACCUGUACUUCCUGCCCCUGUGCCGGCGCUGGGGUGUCUAUGCGGUGGUGCGGGGGCUUCUCCUGCUCAAGCUGAGCCUAAGCCUCCUCAUGCUGCUGGCUGGCCCAGACCACCCUGGCCUGCUUUGCUUCUUCAUUGCCAGGUAUGCCCCGCCUACCCUUGCCCCCACACCUCCGUGUCCACUCGUUUUUACUCUCGCUUCUUUCUCGCUCUGGGCAGCAACCGUGUCUUCACCGAGGGUACCUGUAAGCUGCUGACCCUCGUGGUCACUGACCUGGUGGAUGAGGACCUGGUGCUGAACCAUCGGAAGCAGGCAGCCUCGGCGCUUCUCUUUGGCAUGGUCGCCCUGGUAACCAAACCCGGCCAGACCUUUGCCCCACUGCUGGGCACCUGGCUGCUCUGCUUCUACACAGGUCAUGACCUUUUUCAGCAGCCCCCAGUGACUUCUGUGGGGAGUGUGCAGCCAUGGCCAGAGCCGCCAGCCCCAGCCCCAGUGCAGGCUCCCACACUGCGCCAAGGCUGCUUCUACCUGCUGGUCCUCGUCCCCAUCAUCUGUGCACUGCUGCAGCUCUUCACCUGGUCCCAGUUCACACUGCAUGGGAGACGCCUACGUAUGGUCAAGGCCCAGCGUCAGAACCUAGCUCAGAUCCAUACCCUGAACAUUAAGAUGGUGUGAGACGUCUGGCAGGGCCACUGUGCUGAGAUCAUUCAUUGCCCUAGUCCCAGCAGUAGCCUCUCUUGCCAGCUAGCAUCCUGCUUCCUCACCACCUCUGGGUUUAAGCCCAGCGAACAGAUGAUGUCGGGGAGCUCCUAGGGUAGAACCAGGAGCAUCACCAAGGUCUGCCCUUCUUUAGUCACAUGACUCAGCUUGUGCAAGGGCUGGGCGUAUGUGCUCAGGGACCUGCAGCUCCUGUAGGGCAGGAAGAAAGGACCAGAAAGGGCAGGACUGAGUGCGGUGCCCAGGAGCUGCCUGGGACCCGUAGCUGGGGCUGGCCACUCGGUGGGCUCCAGGGCUUCUGAUGCUGUGACUGCCCCCUUUGCCCACUCAGGUGAAGCUGAAAGUGCCACUUGCCUAUUCUAGUAGUUUCUCAGAGGGUCCUCUGCUUCAGCUAUGCUGGAAGUGGCAUGCCCCCUCUACUGCAGGGCUCCCCAAAGCCCAGCAGGCCUCCAAACGCUAAAGAGGCUCAUCUCAUUUCAAAUCAAGUAAAGCCAGCCAUUCCGAUUCUC
Molecule: long non-coding RNA, 1302 nt
Filed under: Rattus norvegicus (Norway rat)
Lineage: Eukaryota; Metazoa; Chordata; Mammalia; Rodentia; Muridae
Description: long non-coding RNA NONRATT001805
Source: RNAcentral